Molecule: long non-coding RNA, 257 nt
Filed under: Fukomys damarensis (Damara mole-rat)
Lineage: Eukaryota; Metazoa; Chordata; Mammalia; Rodentia; Bathyergidae
Description: lncRNA (ENSFDAG00000022007.1)
Source: RNAcentral
CGAACUCAGGACCUUGUGCUUGAGAGGCAGGUGCAGUGCCACUGAGCUACAUCCCUGGUCCAACAAAAUGUCCAGGCUCCUCAGCCCUGCCUUGAGAGGAUACCCUGCCCUGGCCUCCUGGUGUCUGGCUUGUUUCAUGUGACAUGUGACGUGAUGUCCUCCUGCUCCGUCCCUCCUUGGUUUCUCCAUCUGGCAUCUGCCGAGCUUCUCCAUUAAGGGCCCUGCUGUGGGCCUCUAGGCUGGCCCCAAACCUCGGC